UCAACAGCAAGAACGUUUAAAAUUUCACACCUAUCAUGUCGAAGCUACAGACCACUUAUGUGGAGGUCAGAUUUGUAGUAUCCUUCCAAUUUUCCAGGUGCUGAAAUACGUGACAUAUUUUUUGAAGGAAAGAAAACAUUGAUUAUGCUGAAAAAGUUUACUGGAGAGCUUGAACAAGAGGUAAAUCCAUUUUAAAUUAGUGGAAAACUGUUGAUUUGUAUGUAAAAUAGAAGACAAGCUAGCUAAUGAAACAGAUGCAGUGUUACAGAUAUGACAAACACCUAGAAGAUGGAAUCCUGCGUUCUUAAAUUAAAAAGCUAGUUCCAGAAGUAAGCUACCAAUAAUAAACUAGAGAAUGUAUUACAAGAAAGAACAACGCUAAUACUUAACAUAGCUCAAUUGCUUCAGGUAUAAAAAGAGGAGGAAAGGGUAGAACACAAGCGUGCCAGAGAAAAUGAAAGGGCAGAAGAGAGACACAAAAAUUCAUUGAUUUAUUAAAUUUAAUAAUUAAAUUAUACAAAGGACAAUUAAAUAAAGAAU
Long non-coding RNA from Diabrotica virgifera virgifera (western corn rootworm), 540 nucleotides. RefSeq lists it as uncharacterized. Lineage: Eukaryota; Metazoa; Arthropoda; Insecta; Coleoptera; Chrysomelidae. The record is from RefSeq and is a predicted model, not a curated record. The transcript has 3 exons.